CUUGUGUAUACAGUGCAUAUUCAAAGCAACUUAUUUUACAUUUUGUGUAAAAAUAUAUUUUAAAACCAGACACUAUUUUAUUCCAUUUGGAGAAUUUCAAAAGCUCUAGCUGAAAAGCAGAUCUUUAAGUUUUUGGAGCAUUGAUUUGACAAGUAAAGUGAUAAAGGGAAACUUCUUCCUCAGAAGGAUUUGGAAAUUAGGUGGUAAGUAUCUCUCAUUUUAAAGGUGAGAAAUGUGUGGUUUUAAAAAAUAUAGUCCCCGUGAGAAAAGAUUAAGGGCACUUCUAGAACCAAGCAAAGAGUAAAUAAGUGUGGUUUGCUUUUUCUUUGGCACUA
RNAcentral lists this long non-coding RNA (335 nucleotides) under Marmota monax (woodchuck). Lineage: Eukaryota; Metazoa; Chordata; Mammalia; Rodentia; Sciuridae. The record is from RNAcentral.